This 73-nucleotide non-coding RNA is filed under the name Clostridium sp. Its description in RNAcentral is "Fluoride sequence". It matches the Rfam family "Fluoride riboswitch aptamer (crcB RNA motif)". Lineage: Bacteria; Bacillati; Bacillota; Clostridia; Eubacteriales; Clostridiaceae. The record is from RNAcentral. RNAcentral also lists the same sequence under 1 other name.
AGAAGAUUGGGGAAUGAAGUGCUCCCCCGGGCAACCGAAACCGCUUUUGUAAGCUGAUGACUUCUGUGAUUUU